GCCACUUUCAGCCUCAGUUCGUCACAUUUGCUUGUCUUGGGAACUUGUGCUCGUUUGUGGUGAAUCUUUCCGUUGUUCUCGUCGUAGUUGUUCCUUUGUCUUUUUUCUGGAGUCAUCUCUGCCUCUGGCGCUUUGUUGCUUCAUUUGGGGGUGUAAAUGUUAAAAAAAGUUGACAAUUAUUUUCCAUAGUUUUCGUUACUUCUGCGCUGGUGGCUUGUUGAAAUUGUGAUCGUCAGACACUUCACGUAGUAUCUUUUCAAGAAAUAGUGCUUUCUUUGGUGGCGUUUUGUGUAAGUUCAACAGUGAAUGUUUUAGCGAUAAAGAUACUUUCGUUGUGUUAUUUCGUUCACUUUGUGGAGCGUCUGUUGACAUCGUCUGCGGCGUACUAUCAGACACUGCAUUCUACGUACUUUUCUCCAUCUUCACCUUUUGGGCGACACUAAAGGAGCUUUUGUGAGACGUUCAAAAGUAUCUAUCAUAUUUCAUCGUGGAAAAACGGGAGUAUACAAAUCCGUCUUAAUGACUACCGAAAUUUUAUCGCGAAUUAUGUUAAGUUCAUUGGACGCUCUGGCGGGAAAGAUAUCACCGGGUUCGGGUAAAUCAAGUCCGACCGACAUACGUCCCACAUAUAAGGGAGGUAGUCCUGGCGGCGUAGGUGGAUGCGGUUCAAUUUUGGAUAGUAGCUUCAGUAAAUUAAACCAUUUCAAUCAUAAUAACAUUCAUCCGUACCAAAAGCCAAAGGAUCAUAAUUGCGUGAAGGAAAAUGGAAUCAGCAUGAACAGCAGCAAUACGAGCCUUCAGAACAAUAAUAACAAUAAUAGUAUAAACAACAACAACGAUAGUGUUUGCAACAAUAAUAACACAUGCAGUCCGAAUAAGAAUCUCACGAAUGGAUCGACCGUAGACUCGAUGACAACAGGCGUAACGUUCAGCAAUGAGCAGCCGGAUCCCGAUUAUAUUAAAAUGUUUGUGGGCCAAGUACCGAAGUCGAUGGACGAGGAGCAACUUAGGGAGAUGUUCGAGGAAUUCGGGCGAGUGCAUUCGAUAAAUGUACUGCGCGACAAGGGAACAGGUGUUAGUAAAGGGUGCUGUUUUGUAACGUUCUUCACAAGAAAGGCUGCCCUGAAGGCACAAGAUGCACUGCACAAUGUCAAAACACUUGUUGGGAUGCAUCAUCCAAUUCAAAUGAAGCCGGCAGAUAGUGAAAACCGCAAUGAACGGAAAUUAUUCGUUGGCAUGCUUAAUAAGAAACUGAACGAGAACGAUGUUCGGAAACUGUUUGAGUGUCACGGGACAAUCGAAGAGUGUACAGUACUACGUGAUCAGAAUGGACAAAGUAAAGGCUGUGCAUUUGUAACAUUCGCAACAAAACAAUCAGCAAUCUCAGCAAUUAAAGUAGCAUUGCAUCAAAGUCAAACAAUGGAUGGAUGUUCAUCGCCUUUAGUUGUUAAAUUUGCCGAUACACAAAAAGAGAAGGAGCAAAAGAAAAUGCAACAAAUGCAAGCCAAUCUGUGGAAUUUAGCAGCUAAUAUCAAUAUACCUUUGGCACAAACAGCAACCUCCGUGACAACACCGAUCCUACCAAACCCUCCGCAACAAGCUAGUCCAGUUUUAGGAGCAGAUGCAAUAACGCCUGCAUCGUUACAACUUUUACAGCAAUUACAAGCUGUAGGUUUACAGCAACAAUUAUUACAAGGUAUAGGCGCACAAUCAGCAACAGAUACAGCGACAGCGGCUGCUGCUGCAGCUGGCCUUCUACCUCAAAUGACUGUACAAAAUUUAGCCGCUCUAGCUGCGAUUACGCAACCAUCGUUAACAGCUGCAACCCAACCAACCAGUGCCGCCCACCUUUCAAAUGCAGCAGCAUUACUAUGUCUGUUAGGAAAAACUGCCAAUUCAGGGUCUGAUACAAAUCCAUUGACUUCCGCGUAUGUGUCGUCGGCCACAGGAUUACCACAAUUUGGUAGUAGUUCUUUGUCCACGUCACCUUUGGCUAGCGUCGCACUCACUACAGCAGCUGCAGCUGCCGCUGGGAAGCAAAUUGAAGGACCAGAGGGAUGCAAUCUGUUUAUUUAUCAUUUGCCACAGGAAUUCACUGACACAGAUUUAGCAUCGACGUUUUUGCCGUUCGGAAAUGUUAUUUCCGCAAAAGUUUUUAUUGACAAACAAACGAAUCUGUCAAAGUGUUUUGGUUUUGUGUCAUUUGAUAAUCAGGAAUCGGCUCAGGCAGCCAUCAAAGCGAUGCACGGUUUCCAGAUUGGUACUAAGCGGCUCAAAGUGCAAUUGAAAAAACCAAAAGAUGCGUCAAAGCCUUACUAGAUCAAUUUUCCGUUAAUAGAGCAUUCAACCUUUACGAAAAUGCGUAACUAUAAGGUAAGGUAGAUAAGAAGUACCAUUGUUGCCACCGUAGCUGAUCCUACUACUGACGAAAUAAGUUUCACGUGACUGCGGAGCUGAAUAAGUAGUACGAGCUGUCUGCGCUUCCUCUGUGUAUAGAAUUCCUUCUCAAUGUUUAUAUACGAAAUGAAUCAGAAGUGGUGAUGCAUGAAAGGCUAAACACACAUUUUCGGACGAAUUGAUUCGAUUCAAGUCGACAUUAUAUUCAGUGCACUGACAAAUCAUUGAAAAUGAAACUAGCAAGCAUAAAAAAAAAUCCAGACGUUCACACCGGGACAAUUGAGUGAAGAUAAUAUUAUCAUUUUUGUUCUUUUUUAAACAAAAUCAGUAAUUGGGCGAAUUAUAAUGGGAGUAAAAUUCAGUCGUUAUUUAUUGAAAAGGAAUCGAUAAAAACCUUUUGGAAACUAAUCAAUCAUUGUAAUAACUCCCUCCUAUUCGCAAAAAAUAUCGAACGGAUUAAAUGAAAAUGGUAAUAAAAUUGGAAAUUGGAAUAAUUAUGUGCCACGGUGUAUUGACAAUGUCUUGAUAUAAUAACGAGCAAAGGCUUAUGUUUGGCAUUUUCAUUAAUUUUCGAAACGGAGGACGAAUUUUGAAAGAGACGAAGAGGUGUCCUCAUGUGUUAAUUUCUAUGUAUUAUGUUUAUUUUUAUAUUUGUCCGAUUUCCUCUUUUUGCUCUUGUAUUAUUUUGCCACGAAUUAUUUUUGUGUUUGUUUUAUAUUAAUGUGGACGAUGAGCAAGACCGAGAAUAAGUACGGGUCUCACAAAGUGAAAAGUAUAAUAACGUAUUAAAAUGAAUGAAUUGUUCUAUAUCCGAUAUAUGCGCAUAUGGCUUGGAUAUGUUUCUUUUGGAUUUGAUAAAGAAAAUUUAUAGUUUUUAUUUAUAUUUA
RNAcentral lists this unclassified non-coding RNA (3284 nucleotides) under Hermetia illucens (black soldier fly). Its description in RNAcentral is "cUGBP Elav-like family member 2, transcript variant X2". Lineage: Eukaryota; Metazoa; Arthropoda; Insecta; Diptera; Stratiomyidae. The record is from RNAcentral.